RNAcentral lists this ribosomal RNA (164 nucleotides) under uncultured bacterium. Its description in RNAcentral is "partial 16S ribosomal RNA". It matches the Rfam family "Bacterial small subunit ribosomal RNA", at positions 355 to 511 of the family's 1533-position model. The record is from RNAcentral.
UAGGGAAUCUUCCACAAUGGGCGAAAGCCUGAUGGAGCAACGCCGCGUGUGUGACGAAGGGUUCCGGCUCGUAAAACACUGUUGUAAGAGAAGAAUGACAUUGAGAGUAACUGUUCAAUGUGUGACGGUAUCUUACCAGAAAGGAACGGCUAAAUACGUGCUAG